CACAGUGCUGCAUGGCUGUCGUCAGCUCGUGUCGUGAGAUGUUGGGUUAAGUCCCGCAACGAGCGCAGCCCUUGUCAUUAGUUGCUACAUUCAGUUGGGCACUCUAAUGAGACUGCCGGUGACAAGCCGGAGGAAGUGGGGAUGACGUCAAGUCCUCAUGGCCCUUAUAGGUGGGGCUACACACGUCAUACAAUGGCUGGUACAAAGGGUUGCCAACCCGCGAGGGGGAGCCAAUCCCAUAAAGCCAGUCGUAGUCCGGAUCGUAGUCUGCAACUCGACUACGUGAAGUCGGAAUCGCUAGUAAUCGUGGAUCAGAAUGUCACGGUGAAUACGUUCCCGGGUCUU
This 345-nucleotide ribosomal RNA is filed under the name uncultured Rhodoferax sp. RNAcentral describes it as "bacterial SSU rRNA". It matches the Rfam family "Bacterial small subunit ribosomal RNA", at positions 1033 to 1382 of the family's 1533-position model. The record is from RNAcentral. Lineage: Bacteria; Pseudomonadati; Pseudomonadota; Betaproteobacteria; Burkholderiales; Comamonadaceae.